CGUCGCUUAACGGAAGAAGGCUCGAGUAGCAGCGGCGCAGCCAGGACACCUGGGGGUGACACACGAGUGGGCGGGCGGUCCAGGGAGCCCCUGCUGGAAACCAGACGCUAAACCUUGCAGCUGUGAAGCUAAGGGAGCAUCUAUUUUCCAUUUGAGAGCAACCCGGGCAAGCGAGAACGGCCCGAUUUCGGUGCAGGGGUGCAUCCCGAGGGGGCGGGGGGCUGUUUCUGCGGCGGACCGGGCAGGGGAAACCGAGGCCACGCUGGAUCCGCAGCCCCGAGGUGUCCACGAGAGGUCCGCUCGCGCGAGGGCGCGGCGCGAGGCUGCCCGCGGGACCGGCCUGCGGUGCGAGCGGCUCUUGCCGGAAGCCGCUCGGAGAUAAAACAGGAAGUCCCACCCCUCCCUUAGAGAAGGAAAACGGAGAGCCGAAGGAGUCAAUCUAAAUACGAUGAGCACGUCGGGCUCGAAGGCAGGCGAUGUCAUCCCGGGAGGAGCGUCUGGGAUUUCUAGAGGGUCCCAGAACGGGUUCUUCCCGGGCCGAUCCCGCCUGCUUCCUGCCCUGUCCCUCCACCCGGCUCCCGCCCUCAAUAAGGGACCCCGAGGGCGGCGCCGGAAACACUGAGAAGGCCCAGAACGGCGCGGGACCGGAGAGGCCUACGCUGGCAAACGCAGCCCGCUGCCUCUCUGCCGGCUUCCCCGGGACCUGGAGUGGCUGCUGUCGCUUCUGGCGCUCCGAUUUCGAGAAAUGACUUUCAGCUGUGCAAGGCGAGAAUGCUACUUUAAAUGACGAGAAAAAUCUCUCGAAUGGCUCCCAAAAUAAGGUCCUUGUUUCAGAGGCCACAGGAAACCACCAGCCGAACUCUGAUACCAAAAAAGAGGCCAAGAAGCGGAAUGUGGCUUGGUGACCAGUUUGGUAUUGCCAAACUUUCAGCUUUUAUUAAAGCUGAAACACCUUGGCUGUUUAAAACGUUCGACAAGGACUUUUUAUGAACGUUAACGGCCCAGCACACGGGCUUGUU
This is a long non-coding RNA of Rhinopithecus roxellana (golden snub-nosed monkey), 1019 nucleotides long. RefSeq lists it as uncharacterized. The record is from RefSeq and is a predicted model, not a curated record. Lineage: Eukaryota; Metazoa; Chordata; Mammalia; Primates; Cercopithecidae. The transcript is spliced from 2 exons.